AGGUUUAUGAACAAUUUUGAAUUAUGCUAUGAAACAUCUUGCCAGUUAUAAGGAAGGAGAAAAAAAAAACAGUUUGGCUUCAAAGAAGAUGCUGAUCUUUAUGUAGCAUGG
Molecule: long non-coding RNA, 111 nt
Organism: Pipistrellus kuhlii (Kuhl's pipistrelle)
Lineage: Eukaryota; Metazoa; Chordata; Mammalia; Chiroptera; Vespertilionidae
Exons: 2
Source: RefSeq, a predicted model, not a curated record